CCUACGGGAGGCUGCAGUGAGGAAUAUUGGUCAAUGGACGCAAGUCUGAACCAGCCAUGCCGCGUGCAGGAAGACGGCUCUAUGAGUUGUAAACUGCUUUUGUACGGGGGUAAAUCCCGAUACGUGUAUCUGUUUGAAAGUAUCGUACGAAUAAGGAUCGGCUAACUCCGUGCCAGCAGCCGCGGUAAUACGGAGGAUUCAAGCGUUAUCCGGAUUUAUUGGGUUUAAAGGGUGCGUAGGCGGUGGGAUAAGUUAGAGGUGAAAUCCCGGGGCUCAACUCCGGAACUGCCUCUGAUACUGGCGGGCUAGAGUUUAGGUGCGGUAGGCGGAAUGUAUGGUGUAGCGGUGAAAUG
Molecule: ribosomal RNA, 353 nt
Filed under: uncultured bacterium
Lineage: Bacteria
Description: partial 16S ribosomal RNA
Rfam family: Bacterial small subunit ribosomal RNA
Source: RNAcentral